GCAGUUUGAUGUUGCACAUGAUGAGCUCCUUCCAGUUGACGAAGAUCAUGGCCACUUCCUUCUCCGUCAGCAGCUCGCUCUCCAGCAGAGGUCGUUGACGUAGUUCUCCUCGGUGACAAUCAGCUCGUGGAUGUAUCCCUGCCUCUUCCUCUCCAUGGGACUCAGCAUGUCCAGCAGAUGGAGGCCUACAGCAAACACUUUUGUGUUGGACUACUGCUGGAUUCUUUGUAAAGUAAACCUCAGCUUACUCCAUCCAUGUCGAGACACACCACACUGCAAAGCUGCCUUUAUUUACUCAGAGAAGUCAGACUGUGAAGGUUUGUAUUUCUUUGGCUCAUCAAGUUUACAUUAACAACACGUACAGGUCUGAUUAGAAUGACUUGGUUAAAUAAAAAAAAAGCCAAACACAUUCAUCCACUGGCAAAUGAAUGUACAUGAAGAUGACAUGAGAUGACAGUAAAAAGUUCAAAUGAGUGCUGGCUUAUGAUUGGUGGAGGCACAACACUGGGCAGGGGGCAAGAACUUACCCAUUCCCCCUUCACCUUCAGUUUGCACAGCAGAGGAGAGAGGAAACAGUUAAUACACACACCACACAGUCAUACACACACACACACAUAUACACACACACACACACACUGCACAGAAGACACAAACAGAGAGGACAGAAUCAAAGAGAAAAAGACA
Molecule: long non-coding RNA, 684 nt
Organism: Toxotes jaculatrix (banded archerfish)
Lineage: Eukaryota; Metazoa; Chordata; Actinopteri; Toxotidae
Exons: 3
Source: RefSeq, a predicted model, not a curated record